GAUGAACGCUGGCGGCGUGCCUAACACAUGCAAGUCGAGCGAACAGACCAGGAGCUUGCUCGUUGGACGUUAGCCGCGGACGUGUGAGUAACACGUGGAUAACCUACCUAUAAGACUGGUAUAAGUUCGGAAAACCGGCUCUAAUUCCAGAUAAUAUAUUGAGCCGCAUUGUUCAAUAGGGAAAAACUGUUUUGCUGUCACUUAUAGAUGGAUCCGCGCGGGAUUAGCUAGUUGGUAAGGUAACGGCUUACCAAGGGGACGAUGCGUAGCCGACCUGGGAGGGUGAUAGGCGACCCGGGAACGGGAACACGGUCACGACGCCUACGAGAGGGCGCAGUAGGGAAUCUGCCGCAAUGGGCGAAAGCAUGACGGAACAACGCCGAGUGAGUGAUGAAGGUCUUCGGAGCGUGACACUCUGUUAUGAGGGAAGAACAAAUGUGUAAGGAACUAUGCACGUAUUGACGGUACCUAAUCAGAAAGCCACGGCUAACUACGUG
RNAcentral lists this ribosomal RNA (497 nucleotides) under uncultured bacterium. Its description in RNAcentral is "partial 16S ribosomal RNA". It matches the Rfam family "Bacterial small subunit ribosomal RNA", at positions 28 to 507 of the family's 1533-position model. The record is from RNAcentral.